This 59-nucleotide transfer RNA is filed under the name Thoropa cf. lutzi CFBH-T10562. Its description in RNAcentral is "partial tRNA-Val". Lineage: Eukaryota; Metazoa; Chordata; Amphibia; Anura; Cycloramphidae. The record is from RNAcentral.
CGGAGUAUAGCUUAAAUUAAAGCACCUCGCUUACACCGAAAAGAUAUAUGUUAAACUCA